Long non-coding RNA from Gasterosteus aculeatus aculeatus (three-spined stickleback), 1151 nucleotides. The record is from Ensembl. NCBI's taxonomy places the organism in Eukaryota, Metazoa, Chordata, Actinopteri, Perciformes, Gasterosteidae.
GCGCAUUUGCUUCGUGACUUGGCGUUGUGGAUACUAUCUGAUGGCUAACCCUAGUGUGGUCACAGGUAAAUGCCAGCGACAGCCAGUGUCCCUCCCUCCCUCCUCCUGUGUGUAAGUGUGUGUCCUGGAACAGGUAUGGUAUGAGAGGGAAUGAGACCGCCUACAGGUUGGAGAUUGACCAACUGGUGACGUGGUGCAGUCGAAACAACUUAGAGCUCAACGCCCUGAAGACAGUGGACUGUAGCCGACCCCUCUCACCCUGGACACAGACUCUUUGGCUCUUCUUCCAUCUGGCAGGAUGCUGCGGUCCAUCACGACCAAGACCUCUCACCACACAAACGGUUUUUCCCGUCAGCAGUUGGUCCGAGCCCCCCAUUGACUUGGUCAAUGUCUGUGAGAUUAAUGUUUCUUAAAUCUGAAAUACGUUGUUAUUUCAAAAGGUUUGAAAGAGGGUAUGUCUCUCCUGGUAACGUUACAGCUUUCCACCACCGCAUCAUCAAGCCUCCCAGAUGACUGAGGAGCAAACUCUUCCCUGGACUUCUCCGUCCCGCUAGAUGUCUGAGAAGCCAGAGGUCCCUACUCCACUUGGUUUAUACGCUGGUUAAAUGCUCAAAUAGCGUAUAUGGUGACCAAACGCUACACCUCCAGCCACCAGUCUGUCAGGCUCCUGAAUUGCAGAUGACACCACCCUCAUUGGACUCUGGUGGGAAUGAGACCGCCUACAGGUUGGAGAUUGACCAACUGGUGACGUGGUGCAGUCGAAACAACUUAGAGCUCAACGCCCUGAAGACAGUGGACUGUAGCCGACCCCUCUCACCCCGGACACAGACUCUUUGGCUCUUCUUCCAUCUGGCAGGAGGCUGCGGUCCAUCACGACCAAGACCUCUCGCCACACAAACGUUUUUUCCCGUCAGCAGUUGGUCCGAGCCCCCCAUUGACCCAAAUACUCCAUCCCGGAAACAUUAUGCACUUUGGAUUCUUUCACCAUGCAAACAUAUGGACAUACAUAUGUGAAUACAUUUCUGUUUAUAUUGUUAAUUCUUGCUUGUAUAUUUGUCUUAUUUUACUUUAUUCUUUAUUGCACCAAUGCACAGAGUCCUCUAUAUGUAACCUGUGGCAAUAAAAGGCUUCUGAUUCUGGUUUUGAGCAAA